Molecule: ribosomal RNA, 2930 nt
Filed under: Escherichia coli
Lineage: Bacteria; Pseudomonadati; Pseudomonadota; Gammaproteobacteria; Enterobacterales; Enterobacteriaceae
Description: 23S ribosomal RNA
Rfam family: Bacterial large subunit ribosomal RNA
Source: RNAcentral
GGGUUGUGAGGUUAAGCGACUAAGCGUACACGGUGGAUGCCCUGGCAGUCAGAGGCGAUGAAGGACGUGCUAAUCUGCGAUAAGCGUCGGUAAGGUGAUAUGAACCGUUAUAACCGGCGAUUUCCGAAUGGGGAAACCCAGUGUGAUUCGUCACACUAUCAUUAACUGAAUCCAUAGGUUAAUGAGGCGAACCGGGGGAACUGAAACAUCUAAGUACCCCGAGGAAAAGAAAUCAACCGAGAUUCCCCCAGUAGCGGCGAGCGAACGGGGAGCAGCCCAGAGCCUGAAUCAGUGUGUGUGUUAGUGGAAGCGUCUGGAAAGGCGCGCGAUACAGGGUGACAGCCCCGUACACAAAAAUGCACAUGCUGUGAGCUCGAUGAGUAGGGCGGGACACGUGGUAUCCUGUCUGAAUAUGGGGGGACCAUCCUCCAAGGCUAAAUACUCCUGACUGACCGAUAGUGAACCAGUACCGUGAGGGAAAGGCGAAAAGAACCCCGGCGAGGGGAGUGAAAAAGAACCUGAAACCGUGUACGUACAAGCAGUGGGAGCACGCUUAGGCGUGUGACUGCGUACCUUUUGUAUAAUGGGUCAGCGACUUAUAUUCUGUAGCAAGGUUAACCGAAUAGGGGAGCCGAAGGGAAACCGAGUCUUAACUGGGCGUUAAGUUGCAGGGUAUAGACCCGAAACCCGGUGAUCUAGCCAUGGGCAGGUUGAAGGUUGGGUAACACUAACUGGAGGACCGAACCGACUAAUGUUGAAAAAUUAGCGGAUGACUUGUGGCUGGGGGUGAAAGGCCAAUCAAACCGGGAGAUAGCUGGUUCUCCCCGAAAGCUAUUUAGGUAGCGCCUCGUGAAUUCAUCUCCGGGGGUAGAGCACUGUUUCGGCAAGGGGGUCAUCCCGACUUACCAACCCGAUGCAAACUGCGAAUACCGGAGAAUGUUAUCACGGGAGACACACGGCGGGUGCUAACGUCCGUCGUGAAGAGGGAAACAACCCAGACCGCCAGCUAAGGUCCCAAAGUCAUGGUUAAGUGGGAAACGAUGUGGGAAGGCCCAGACAGCCAGGAUGUUGGCUUAGAAGCAGCCAUCAUUUAAAGAAAGCGUAAUAGCUCACUGGUCGAGUCGGCCUGCGCGGAAGAUGUAACGGGGCUAAACCAUGCACCGAAGCUGCGGCAGCGACGCUUAUGCGUUGUUGGGUAGGGGAGCGUUCUGUAAGCCUGCGAAGGUGUGCUGUGAGGCAUGCUGGAGGUAUCAGAAGUGCGAAUGCUGACAUAAGUAACGAUAAAGCGGGUGAAAAGCCCGCUCGCCGGAAGACCAAGGGUUCCUGUCCAACGUUAAUCGGGGCAGGGUGAGUCGACCCCUAAGGCGAGGCCGAAAGGCGUAGUCGAUGGGAAACAGGUUAAUAUUCCUGUACUUGGUGUUACUGCGAAGGGGGGACGGAGAAGGCUAUGUUGGCCGGGCGACGGUUGUCCCGGUUUAAGCGUGUAGGCUGGUUUUCCAGGCAAAUCCGGAAAAUCAAGGCUGAGGCGUGAUGACGAGGCACUACGGUGCUGAAGCAACAAAUGCCCUGCUUCCAGGAAAAGCCUCUAAGCAUCAGGUAACAUCAAAUCGUACCCCAAACCGACACAGGUGGUCAGGUAGAGAAUACCAAGGCGCUUGAGAGAACUCGGGUGAAGGAACUAGGCAAAAUGGUGCCGUAACUUCGGGAGAAGGCACGCUGAUAUGUAGGUGAAGUCCCUCGCGGAUGGAGCUGAAAUCAGUCGAAGAUACCAGCUGGCUGCAACUGUUUAUUAAAAACACAGCACUGUGCAAACACGAAAGUGGACGUAUACGGUGUGACGCCUGCCCGGUGCCGGAAGGUUAAUUGAUGGGGUCAGCGCAAGCGAAGCUCUUGAUCGAAGCCCCGGUAAACGGCGGCCGUAACUAUAACGGUCCUAAGGUAGCGAAAUUCCUUGUCGGGUAAGUUCCGACCUGCACGAAUGGCGUAAUGAUGGCCAGGCUGUCUCCACCCGAGACUCAGUGAAAUUGAACUCGCUGUGAAGAUGCAGUGUACCCGCGGCAAGACGGAAAGACCCCGUGAACCUUUACUAUAGCUUGACACUGAACAUUGAGCCUUGAUGUGUAGGAUAGGUGGGAGGCUUUGAAGUGUGGACGCCAGUCUGCAUGGAGCCGACCUUGAAAUACCACCCUUUAAUGUUUGAUGUUCUAACGUUGACCCGUGAUCCGGGUUGCGGACAGUGUCUGGUGGGUAGUUUGACUGGGGCGGUCUCCUCCUAAAGAGUAACGGAGGAGCACGAAGGUUGGCUAAUCCUGGUCGGACAUCAGGAGGUUAGUGCAAUGGCAUAAGCCAGCUUGACUGCGAGCGUGACGGCGCGAGCAGGUGCGAAAGCAGGUCAUAGUGAUCCGGUGGUUCUGAAUGGAAGGGCCAUCGCUCAACGGAUAAAAGGUACUCCGGGGAUAACAGGCUGAUACCGCCCAAGAGUUCAUAUCGACGGCGGUGUUUGGCACCUCGAUGUCGGCUCAUCACAUCCUGGGGCUGAAGUAGGUCCCAAGGGUAUGGCUGUUCGCCAUUUAAAGUGGUACGCGAGCUGGGUUUAGAACGUCGUGAGACAGUUCGGUCCCUAUCUGCCGUGGGCGCUGGAGAACUGAGGGGGGCUGCUCCUAGUACGAGAGGACCGGAGUGGACGCAUCACUGGUGUUCGGGUUGUCAUGCCAAUGGCACUGCCCGGUAGCUAAAUGCGGAAGAGAUAAGUGCUGAAAGCAUCUAAGCACGAAACUUGCCCCGAGAUGAGUUCUCCCUGACUCCUUGAGAGUCCUGAAGGAACGUUGAAGACGACGACGUUGAUAGGCCGGGUGUGUAAGCGCAGCGAUGCGUUGAGCUAACCGGUACUAAUGAACCGUGAGGCUUAACCUUACAACGCUGAAGCUGUU